Non-coding RNA from Mycena epipterygia, 97 nucleotides. NCBI's taxonomy places the organism in Eukaryota, Fungi, Basidiomycota, Agaricomycetes, Agaricales, Mycenaceae. The record is from the annotation of a GenBank genome assembly.
GCCAUCGUAUAUCAGUGGUAGAUUUCCCUCACUCUUUGGCGGGCAAGGACGGGAUUUUUAAGGGAGGGAGGCGUGGGUUCGAUCCCUAGCGAUGGUA